CGGAUACGAACCGGGGUUGCUGCGGAUUGAUUGAAAAUCGCAACAUUUUGGUGCCGUGACUCGGAUUGAUUUAAUAUAUCACAACAUUUUGGUGCCGUGACCCGGAUUGAUUUAAUAUAUCGCAACAUUUUGGUGCCGUGACUAGUGACCAGAAGAAGCGUGGAAGAUUUGUGACCCAAGAGUCUGCAGUGAAGCCCUGGAAGGAAGUGUGGAACCCUAGGACGGUGGUCUGGAAAUCUGUGACUGUGAACCUAAAAGGGUUGUUUUAUCUUCCAGGAAAAGAUCUUCAAGCAGAAGGAUAAAUGUGUCUGAAUUUUUUUUGGUCAUGUUAAACUUGUUUUUUUUUUUUUUUCUUCAUCUCACACUUAAGCAGCUUUUCAAAUUUUUUUAAUGACAGUAAAACAUUGGUAGAUGAGACCUAAAGGUUCCAAGUGGGGGUGUGAAGGAAUUUGCAUGACACAGAGGGAGAGGUGUUGGAUGUUGACACCACAGAAGUUUUUUGACUGGAUGCAGUAGUGCAAUGGGCUGGAUACUGUUUGAUGUCAAAAUAUAUUCUUCAGGCUUCUUCUAUAACUAAUGUUCUCCCACAAAUGUAAUAGAUCAAUGGGAUUUUUAAAGAAAAAAAAAUGAAUGAACUGUUCUGAUGUUUGUCAGUGUCUAAAUCAGUGCAGGAGUCUUAAGUGGGAAGAUGGAAAUGCAAUGAAAAGAACUCAUUAACAUACAAACAGGACAUUAUUUACAAAGUUUCAGGACUUGAAUGUCUACUUUUAAUUAAGUAACAUCCACCUUGUUAUUAUUCAGUGUUUUGUUUUAUUCAGUGUCUUUCUGUAUAUGUUUAUACUUUUCAAUGUAAAAAAAAAAAAAAAAAAAAAAUCCAGAGAAAGUGCAAAUAUUUUAGUGUUGCUAUACAUAUCUGUCUAGAGAUGCUAAACAAGGGCUCAUAUUUAGCAUGUAGUCCAUAGGGGGUGUUGGAAGCUAAAUGUACAGACAUGGGUGGAUUUAUAAAGAACACAUAUACUCAGAAUAUUGAUGUUUUGGCUGCAUAUUUGCAGGGAUAUAUCCGUUAAUAUUCUGACUAGAUCAGGUAAGGGUGAUAUUGUGUCCAAAGCUAGAGUUUGUGGCUAAAUGUGGGUUUUCUGAGAAAGAAAAAAAAA
Long non-coding RNA from Xenopus tropicalis (tropical clawed frog), 1154 nucleotides. RefSeq lists it as uncharacterized. NCBI's taxonomy places the organism in Eukaryota, Metazoa, Chordata, Amphibia, Anura, Pipidae. The transcript has 2 exons. The record is from RefSeq and is a predicted model, not a curated record.